This is an RNA transcript of Thrips palmi, 1343 nucleotides long. It is a transcript of the gene named N66 matrix protein-like, with no coding region annotated. The transcript is spliced from 6 exons. The record is from RefSeq and is a predicted model, not a curated record. Lineage: Eukaryota; Metazoa; Arthropoda; Insecta; Thysanoptera; Thripidae.
UGGGCCCCUCAGGUGGCGCGGUGGCGCAGCCGCGCGGCCGUGCCGUGUGUGGACUGGAGUCGAGUCGAGUGGAGUGAGUGGACUGGUCUUCAGUUCCCUCCCCGGCGCGUUCCCUCCCGGACCGCAUUCACCGGCGUGCAAGUCGAGCCUCCACCGGCAUGCCGACCUUGAUCGCGAGGGCGGCGAUGGCGCUGCUGGCCGUCGUCGCGUGUCUAGCGCUGUUCGCCACCGGCAGCCCCGCGGCGCAGCGCAGCCGCGGUUCUGGCGGCCCUAGAGGAGCCCCCCGGAGGCAGGACGGCCACGGCCUCGACGGCAACGUCCACAACCGCUUUGCCACGUACUGGGGCGCGUCCGAGUGGCAGGACGACGAUAGCGCUCUCGGAGGAAGUAACGGACUGCAGCAGCAGGGUGGUGGCUCGGACAUCAACUUCGGCCAGAACCCGUGGCUGAACGGCGUAGGCGGCGGCAACAACUGGGGUGGAAACAACAACAACCCCGGAAAUAACAAUUGGGGUGGAAACAACAACAAUCCUGGAAACAACAACUGGGGUGGAACCAACAACAACGGCCCCGGAAACAAUUGGGGUGGAAACAACAACAACAAUGGCCCCGGAAACAACUGGGGCGGAAACAACAAUAACAAUGGCCCCGGGAACAACUGGGGCGGAAACAACAACAACGGCCCCGGAAACAACAACAAUCCUGGAAACAACAACAACCGCCCUGGAAACAACAACAACCGGCCGGGCAACAACAACAACAGGCCAGGCUCCCGGCCUGCCUCCACCACGACGCCCAGGCCCAACCCCAUCGCCAUCGGCGGGGUGCGGCCGCCGUCCACGCCGCGGCCGGACUGCGGCUGCACCUCGACGCAGGAGUACAACCCCGUGUGCGGCACGGACGGCGCCACCUACGGCAACCCCACCCUGCUGCGCUGCGCCAAGAUCUGCGGCAACAAUACGCUCCGGCAGAAGCACCGUGGCGCCUGCACCGUCACCGUACCCCCGCCCACCUAGAGGGGCUGGAUGGAUCGCCGAGGACGCCAAGAAGAGGAGGCCUGCACCUCCACCUGCGCGGACGUCGCGAACCCCUGCCUUCCAGAAUCAGUGUGCAGGGGCGGCAGUCGGUUGGGUUGCCUACCGGGUGGGCGCAUCGGCUGCAGACUGCGCCUCGCCGGUAGGCAACCCAACGCACUUCCGACCCCGUCCCGGGGCGCGAGAGGCGCAUGUGUGUUUGUGUGUGUUUUGUUUGUGAAGGGGCGUACUUGUCCUCGCCCGUUUGCAACUCUCAUCGUAGGUUAGGACUUAAAUGUUCGGAAUUCAUUAAAAAUGGAAAAGAGUCAA